GUCCUUUUGAAUUUAAUUUAAGGUCUGACCUGCCCAGUGAUUAAUUUAACGGCCGCGGUAUAUUGACCGUGCAAAGGUAGCAUAAUCAUUAGUCUUUUAAUAGAGGGCUGGAAUGAAAGGUUUGACGAGGAAUUGACUGUCUCAUUUUAUUUGUUUUAAAACUUAAUUUUUUAGUUAAAAAGCUAAAAUUUAAUUGGAAGACGAGAAGACCCUAUAGAUCUUUAUAUGAUUUUAUUUAAAUAUUUAUAUAUUAAUAUAUUUAAUUAUCAUUAUAUUGUGUUGGGGUGACAAAAAUAUAUAAUUAACUUUUUUAUUUAACUACCAUUGAUAAGUGAACAUUAGAUCCACUCAUAGUGAUUAAUAGACUAAGUUACCUUAGGGAUAACAGCGUAAUCCUCCCCCAGAGUUCAUAUUUACGGGAUGGGCUUGCGACCUCGAUGUUGGAUUAAGAUAAUAAUUAGGUGUAGCCGCUUAAUAUAUAGGUCUGUUCGACCUUUAAAUUCUU
Molecule: ribosomal RNA, 505 nt
Filed under: Rhyothemis obsolescens
Lineage: Eukaryota; Metazoa; Arthropoda; Insecta; Odonata; Libellulidae
Description: partial 16S rRNA
Rfam family: Bacterial large subunit ribosomal RNA
Source: RNAcentral